UACGUAGGGUGCGAGCGUUGUCCGGAAUUACUGGGCGUAAAGAGCUCGUAGGUGGUUUGUCGCGUUGUCCGUGAAAACUCACAGCUCAACUGUGGGCGUGCGGGCGAUACGGGCAGACUGGAGUACUGCAGGGGAGACUGGAAUUCCUGGUGUAGCGGUGAAAUGCGCAGAUAUCAGGAGGAACAUCGGUGGCGAAGGCGGGUCUCUGGGCCGUAACUGACGCUGAGGAGCGAAAGCGUGGGGAGCGAACAGG
This 253-nucleotide ribosomal RNA is filed under the name uncultured bacterium. RNAcentral describes it as "partial 16S ribosomal RNA". It matches the Rfam family "Bacterial small subunit ribosomal RNA", at positions 524 to 776 of the family's 1533-position model. The record is from RNAcentral.